UACGUAGGGUGCAAGCGUUGUCCGGAAUUAUUGGGCGUAAAGAGCUCGUAGGCGGUCUGUCGCGUCGGCUGUGAAAGCCCGGGGCUCAACCCCGGGCCUGCAGUCGAUACGGGCAGACUAGAGUGUGGUAGGGGAGACUGGAAUUCCUGGUGUAGCGGUGAAAUGCGCAGAUAUCAGGAGGAACACCGAUGGCGAAGGCAGGUCUCUGGGCCAUAACUGACGCUGAGAAGCGAAAGCAUGGGGAGCGAACAGG
Molecule: ribosomal RNA, 253 nt
Filed under: uncultured bacterium
Lineage: Bacteria
Description: partial 16S ribosomal RNA
Rfam family: Bacterial small subunit ribosomal RNA
Source: RNAcentral